Molecule: ribosomal RNA, 245 nt
Filed under: uncultured bacterium
Lineage: Bacteria
Description: partial 16S ribosomal RNA
Rfam family: Bacterial small subunit ribosomal RNA
Source: RNAcentral
GACAGAGGUGGCAAGCGUUGCUCGGAAUUACUGGGCUUAAAGGGUGUGUAGGCGGUUGGUUAAGCAUUCUGUGAAAGCCCUCGGCUCAACUGAGGAACUGCAGGAUGUACUGGCUGACUUGAGGCGCGUAGAGGUCACUGGAACUCUGGGUGGAGCGGUGAAAUGCGUAGAUAUCCAGGGGAACGCCAAUGGCGAAGGCAGGUGACUGGGCGCGUCCUGACGCUGAGGCACGAAAGCGUGGGGAG